CCUGCCCAUUCUUUCCCCCACAGGGUAAUUAUUCAUUUUCUUACUGAGUUGUAAGAGUAUAUUUUAUGCCUUAAGGAAAUGAGUUCUUUAUCACGUAUAUUUUCCCAGUUUCCUACUUAGCUUGCCUAAAGGAACCUGCAGGACGGUUACGUCCCGUUUGUCUGUGCUUUUCUUUUUCAAAGGUGACCGCAGGCGAGGACACGCUCAGACGUUUUCCGAAGCGCAUGUGAGCGAUGCAAUAUUGCUUAUCGAAACGUCGGGUAGCAGGACGUUGAGAGAAUUAUUGUAAGAAAAAGGAUCAUGCCCUGAGCCAAACGCAGACUCUCAACCACUGAGCCACCCAGGGGUCCCAUGGAUCUCCUUUCUAUUUGCUAGAUAAGAUGCUG
Molecule: long non-coding RNA, 386 nt
Filed under: Vulpes vulpes (red fox)
Lineage: Eukaryota; Metazoa; Chordata; Mammalia; Carnivora; Canidae
Description: lncRNA (ENSVVUG00000029934.1)
Source: RNAcentral